This 508-nucleotide ribosomal RNA is filed under the name uncultured bacterium. Its description in RNAcentral is "partial 16S ribosomal RNA". It matches the Rfam family "Bacterial small subunit ribosomal RNA", at positions 28 to 507 of the family's 1533-position model. The record is from RNAcentral.
GACGAACGCUGGCGGCGUGCCUAAUACAUGCAAGUCGAACGCUUCUUUCCUCCCGAGUGCUUGCACUCAAUUGGAAAGAGGAGUGGCGGACGGGUGAGUAACACGUGGGUAACCUACCCAUCAGAGGGGGAUAACACUUGUAAACAGGUGCUAAUACCGCAUAACAGUUUAUGCCGCAUGGCAUAAGAGUGAAAGGCGCUUUCGGGUGUCGCUGAUGGAUGGACCCGCGGUGCAUUAGCUAGUUGGUGAGGUAACGGCUCACCAAGGCCACGAUGCAUAGCCGACCUGAGAGGGUGAUCGGCCACACUGGGACUGAGACGCGGCCCAGACUCCUACGGGAGGCAGCAGUAGGGAAUCUUCGGCAAUGGACGAAAGUCUGACCGAGCAACGCCGCGUGAGUGAAGAAGGUUUUCGGAUCGUAAAACUCUGUUGUUAGAGAAGAACAAGGACGUUAGUAACUGAACGUCCCCUGACGGUAUCUAACCAGAAAGCCACGGCUAACUACGUG